AAUUCCUACAAGAAUUCUGGUUCGUGUAUUUUCCAGACAUACUGGGUGAAUCUACCAGAAUUCUAAUUAAUGCCAGAUUUUUUUCUCAGUGCACGAAAUCAAUGUACGAAAACGGAAAUAGAACUCGAGAAUUCUCUCCGCAAAGGAUAACGAAUUUUUAAAGAUUCGCGCAUACAGGUUCCAAGACCGCGGAGAAAAGAGAUGGAGAGGAGGAACAGGAUAAUGUUGCUGCAUAAGGAUCGGCGACUGUGCCGCGUGGGUGUUGCUCGAACCCGUAUCAGCUCUAAGUGCAGGAAAUAAUACGUGAGAGAGGAGAGAGAAACAAGUUGAAAUUAUUGCAGUCAAUGCACGCCAGCUGAGCCCUACUUCCUGAAGAUACGUCAAGGGCUCGAUGAAGACUCCGUACACGUAUGAAGAUAUACUUCGAGCAGCCUAUAAUUUACCCUUUUUUCAUUGUAUCUCGUCCGGAGGAAGUAACGAGAUACGAGGGGAGGGAAAAGGGAGAGAAGCCCCCGUCACAUGGUAAAAUGCGACGUGCUGUGUUCGCGAUAAAUUUCUGCAAAGAGGGGAAAAAAGCCAAUCGCACUUUAAGAUUAAACGCGGUCGAUGACGGCUCGAAGCCAAUCGCGUUAAUCCGGAGUUUAGCGCUGAAAGAGUUUAACAGCUCUUUAGCUAAGAUGAACAUCGGCGAGGAUUACAUCCUCUAAGACAUCGCUCGUGACAUGAUAUUAUUUGUAGUUCAUAAUUCGUCAUUAUAUUUAUACAAGAUUAUUUUGUAUACAACUUGGAUUUUCGGUUUUUCGGAAAUCAUAUAUA
Molecule: long non-coding RNA, 816 nt
Organism: Camponotus floridanus (Florida carpenter ant)
Lineage: Eukaryota; Metazoa; Arthropoda; Insecta; Hymenoptera; Formicidae
Exons: 3
Source: RefSeq, a predicted model, not a curated record